This 1233-nucleotide ribosomal RNA is filed under the name Triticum aestivum (bread wheat). RNAcentral's name for it is "partial small subunit ribosomal RNA". The record is from RNAcentral. Lineage: Eukaryota; Viridiplantae; Streptophyta; Magnoliopsida; Poales; Poaceae.
AUGAGGACCUGCGCUCUCCUCCUCGCUGUCACCGUCGCCCCCGCGGCGUUCGGCGGCGCACAAGCCGCUAGGAGACGAAGUUUCUGGCGGCCUCUGUGGCAGCCACUGCCAACGCCGCCUGCGAUCGCCGCCACGUGCCAGGCGGCUCACGACGCCGACAAGCGCGCCAACGUCACCUUCUGCAUGAAUAUCUUUGGCCUGUUAAGACCGCACGACAGCACCGUGCGGGGCCUCGCCCAGGCCGCCGCAUCCAUGGGCGCCGGUCGCGCCGACACCGCGCAGACCACGAUCGACAGGACGCUCAGGCAGGGCGGCGUCGACGAUCCGAGAGCCAGGCGCGCGCUGGAGCGGUGCGACCGGCUGUACGGCUCCGCCGCCGCGGCCUUCAAGGCGGCGCGCAAGGCGAUCACGGAGGGGCGGUACGCCGACGUCGGGCGGGCGCUGGAGGGGGUCUCGGAGCUGGGGCGCCAGUGCGACUCGGAGAACCCCCCGGCCAGCAGUGGCAAUCUGGCGCCGCUCUGGAUCUUCAGCGGGGCAAACGAGCAGCUCACGUACCUCACCAUCGCCAUCACCAGCCUGAUCAAAUCCCCACCACUGAUUCCACCCCGCCUAGGCCGCCGCCUGCCGCCGCGCUGCCCCAUCGCGUUCGCGUUCGCUCCGGCCGCCCCGACCCCGCCCGCCUCCGCCUCCGGUCCAUCCUCCGCCCGGCCCCGCUCCGCCCGCCUCCUUUCCGGCCCUGCUCCAUUCGCCUCCUCUCCGGUCCGUCCGCCGCGCCGCUCCGUCCGCUUCCGCCCCGCGCCGCACUCCGCCGCCCCGCUCCGUCCGCCUCCGCCCCGCGCCGCACGUCGCCGCCCCGCUCCCCGCUCGGCCGCCGCCCGCUCCCCGAUGGCGCCGAAGAAGACGCCGAAGGGAAAGUCCGGUUUCUUCGGCAUGAGGGCGAAGCCCUCCGGGAACUUCGGACUGGAGUUCUCCGAUGCCGGGCAGCGUUGGUGGCUCGGCACGUAUCCCACCGCCGAUGAGGCUGCUCGUGCCUACGACGUGGCGGUGUGGCGUGCCGGACGGCCGAAGACGGAUCUAAACUUCCUGGAGGUCGAGUCCCAGGCGGUGGCGGAGUGGCUCGUACCGCAGGGCAUCCGGAUGGAGGAGAUGCCGGCUAAGAAGGCGAAGAAGAGACCGGCGGUUGUUAUCGCUCCCGGCGAGAGCGACGAGGCAACGAUGGCUUGGUUUGCGUGA